Molecule: unclassified non-coding RNA, 522 nt
Filed under: Hevea brasiliensis (rubber tree)
Lineage: Eukaryota; Viridiplantae; Streptophyta; Magnoliopsida; Malpighiales; Euphorbiaceae
Source: RNAcentral
AACAUAUAAAUAAAACAAAGAUAUAUUAGGCAAACAACAAUUGCGGCAAUCAAUGUACAGAAGGAAGGAAAGAGUAGACGCCCCUUUCAUCCAAACAUGACUUGUACAGUAAAACAGGAGAAAAUUUAUCGCCUGGAUCCCGCUAUUCGAGUCAUUCUGUAGAUGGCAAUGACAAUGUGAGUUUAAAGAUGAAACCAACCAAAAUUCCAAUAAGUCCCACAACAAACGCGAAAGUCAGGGAAAACCCUGGACUAUUUUUUCGAUAUCCCCGUCGCUUCAUCAUGUCCAGUUCCUUUUGCAGUUGACGAGUUUGUUGGACAGCUGCAUCCCUUUCAUCCUUCAGGCGCUGUAAUGCCUGAUUAGAGUUAGGAUCAAGACUCUGUGAGGAGAUUUUUUUUGUCUCUUCUUCCGAGUUUCCUUGAGUUGAUGGGUUGACAUAUACAACUCUAAGCUUGCACUCUUCAAAUGUCUUUCCACUACCAUCCUUAUUGAAAGUAUCUGGUGGAAGCUCAUCAACAUCAG